This 63-nucleotide transfer RNA is filed under the name Prorhinotermes canalifrons. Its description in RNAcentral is "tRNA-Ser". Lineage: Eukaryota; Metazoa; Arthropoda; Insecta; Blattodea; Rhinotermitidae. The record is from RNAcentral.
GAAGCGCCAGAAAGUGAAUGCUGCUAACUUAUCACUAUAGCGGUUAAAUCCGUUUACGCUUCU